UGCCUGCCGGAAUGCACCGAAACGCUGCUAGCACCGAAAAGUCCGACUGGGGAUCCCCAGUCGGACUUUUUGGUGCAUGCAUCGUGCCGCAGUCGCCUGACGCGCGCUUUUUUGCACCGUUUUCCGCUUGCAUGCAGACAUCAAGGAAAUUUUUUCCCUUUUCAAAGCAAUUGCUCUGAAAAAAGGGGACUUAGAAAAUUUUCAUCUCGUUUGGGACUUAGAAAAAUUUUUGCGUGGGACAUUUAACUUAGAAAAAAUUUAUUCAUGCCAAAUUAUUAAUAUUAUAUUUUAUAUUAUUCAUUGAAUACUUUUAAGUUAUAGAAGUGUCAAUUUAAACAAAUUGUUUAAAUACAAAAUAAAAACAAAAAAUUUUAAAUUGAACUAAAAUAGUUUAAUUUUAUUAUUAAAAUAAAAAAUAAAGGAGUAAAAACAAAAGUUACACACCUCAAGCAAAAAAAAAAAAUUGAAUAAUAAUGUAAAUCUUAAAAAUAAAUACAUUUCUUAAUAGUGAAUUGUGUAAAUACAGAAAACAAAAAAAUAUAAUAUAAAAAAUGGGUGAAAGGGUUGCCAUCGCGUGGGCGAUAUUUUUCUAAGUGCGGGAAUCGAUAGUAGCUUUAAAGUAUGGCAACUCCCCCACCCUAUUUAUUCUAGUGCAUUUAGUUGAAUUGAACGUGUUGAAUUGCAUUUAACAAAAGAAAUAAUCAACAAGGAGUGAUUUUUCCACCUACGACGACUUCAUUAGGGCCAUCCGGGAUGGAAUAAGGAGAGCCAAAAAUAAAAAUUAUAAGGAAAAAUC
Long non-coding RNA from Drosophila ananassae, 796 nucleotides. RefSeq lists it as uncharacterized. The transcript has 2 exons. Lineage: Eukaryota; Metazoa; Arthropoda; Insecta; Diptera; Drosophilidae. The record is from RefSeq and is a predicted model, not a curated record.